GCCCCCUUGGCGGAAUUGGUAGACGCAAGGGACUUAAAAUCCCUCGGCUUCGGCCAUGCCGGUUCGAUCCCGGCAGGGGGCACCA
Molecule: transfer RNA, 85 nt
Filed under: Mesorhizobium sp.
Lineage: Bacteria; Pseudomonadati; Pseudomonadota; Alphaproteobacteria; Hyphomicrobiales; Phyllobacteriaceae
Also listed under: 1 other name
Description: tRNA-Leu
Rfam family: tRNA
About the family: Transfer RNA (tRNA) molecules are approximately 80 nucleotides in length. Their secondary structure includes four short double-helical elements and three loops (D, anti-codon, and T loops).
Source: RNAcentral